RNAcentral lists this ribosomal RNA (447 nucleotides) under uncultured bacterium. RNAcentral describes it as "partial 16S ribosomal RNA". It matches the Rfam family "Bacterial small subunit ribosomal RNA", at positions 29 to 523 of the family's 1533-position model. The record is from RNAcentral.
AACGAACGCUGGCGGCAGGCUUGACACAUGCAAGUCGAGCGCCCCGCAAGGGGAGCGGCAGACGGGGGAGUAACGCGUGGGAAACUACCCAUGCCUACGGAAGAGCUCCGGGAAACUGGAGGUGAUACCGUAUACGCCCUACGGGGGAAAGAUUUAUCGGGGAUGGAUGAGUCCGCGUUGGAUUAGCUAGUUGGUGGGGUAAAGGCCUACCAAGGCGACGAUCCAUAGCUGGUCUGAGAGGAUGAUCAGCCACAUUGGGACUGAGACGCGGCCCAAACUCCUACGGGAGGCAGCAGUGGGGAAUAUUGGACAAUGGGGGCAACCCUGAUCCAGCCAUGCCGCGUGAGUGAUGAAGGCCUUAGGGUUGUAAAGCUCUUUCACCGGGGAAGAUAAUGACGGUACCCGGAGAAGAAGCCCCGGCUAACUUCGUGCCAGCAGCCGCAGUAA